This is a small nucleolar RNA of Mesocricetus auratus (golden hamster), 79 nucleotides long. RefSeq annotates it as small nucleolar RNA SNORD115. Lineage: Eukaryota; Metazoa; Chordata; Mammalia; Rodentia; Cricetidae. The record is from RefSeq and is a predicted model, not a curated record. The transcript has a single exon.
GGGUCUAUGAUGACAAACCAACGUCAUGAAGAUAGGUGAUGACAUAAAUAUAAUUCUGUGGUUUGUGCUGCUGAGACCC